UGCAGUCGAGCGGCAGCGGGAAAGUAGCUUGCUACUUUUGCCGGCGAGCGGCGGACGGGUGAGUAAUGCCUGGGAAAUUGCCCAGUCGAGGGGGAUAACAGUUGGAAACGACUGCUAAUACCGCAUACGCCCUACGGGGGAAAGCAGGGGACCUUCGGGCCUUGCGCGAUUGGAUAUGCCCAGGUGGGAUUAGCUUGUUGGUGAGGUAAUGGCUCACCAAGGCGACGAUCCCUAGCUGGUCUGAGAGGAUGAUCAGCCACACUGGAACUGAGACACGGUCCAGACUCCUACGGGAGGCAGCAGUGGGGAAUAUUGCACAAUGGGGGAAACCCUGAUGCAGCCAUGCCGCGUGUGUGAAGAAGGCCUUCGGGUUGUAAAGCACUUUCAGCGAGGAGGAAAGGUUGGUAGCUAAUAACUGCCAACUGUGACGUUACUCGCAGAAGAAGCACCGGCUAACUCCGUGCCAGCAGCCGCGGUAAUACGGAGGGUGCGAGCGUUAAUCGGAAUUACUGGGCGUAAAGCGCACGCAGGCGGUUGGAUAAGUUAGAUGUGAAAGCCCCGGGCUCAACCUGGGAAUUGCAUUUAAAACUGUCCAGCUAGAGUCUUGUAGAGGGGGGUAGAAUUCCAGGUGUAGCGGUGAAAUGCGUAGAGAUCUGGAGAAAUACCGGCGGCGAAGGCGGCCCCCUGGACAAAGACUGACGCUC
This 704-nucleotide ribosomal RNA is filed under the name uncultured bacterium. RNAcentral's name for it is "bacterial SSU rRNA". It matches the Rfam family "Bacterial small subunit ribosomal RNA", at positions 56 to 748 of the family's 1533-position model. The record is from RNAcentral.